RNAcentral lists this ribosomal RNA (403 nucleotides) under uncultured Acetobacterium sp. Its description in RNAcentral is "bacterial SSU rRNA". It matches the Rfam family "Bacterial small subunit ribosomal RNA", at positions 356 to 774 of the family's 1533-position model. Lineage: Bacteria; Bacillati; Bacillota; Clostridia; Eubacteriales; Eubacteriaceae. The record is from RNAcentral.
GGGGAAUAUUGCGCAAUGGGGGAAACCCUGACGCAGCAAUACCGCGUGAGUGAAGAAGGUUUUCGGAUCGUAAAGCUCUGUUAUUGGGGAAGAAAAAAAGACGGUACCCAAGAAGAAAGUCCCGGCUAACUACGUGCCAGCAGCCGCGGUAAUACGUAGGGGACAAGCGUUGUCCGGAUUUACUGGGCGUAAAGGGCACGCAGGCGGUUUUUUAAGUCAGAUGUGAAAGGUACCGGCUCAACCGGUGACAUGCAUUUGAAACUACCGGGCUAGAGUGUGUCAGAGGGAGGUGGAAUUCCGCGUGUAGCAGUGAAAUGCGUAGAUAUGCGGAGGAACACCGAUGGCGAAGGCAGCCUCCUGGGAUAACACUGACGCUCAUGCACGAAAGCGUGGGGAGCAAACA